GCUGGGCGUGGUGGCGCAUGCCUGUAAUCCCUGCUACUUGGGAGGCUGAGGCAGGAGAAUCACUUGAACCCAGGAGGCGGAGGUUGCAGUGAGCCAAGAUCGUGCCACUGCACUCCAGCCUAGGUGAAAAAGCGAAACUCUGUCUCAA
This 148-nucleotide non-coding RNA is filed under the name Chlorocebus sabaeus (green monkey). The record is from Rfam by way of RNAcentral. Lineage: Eukaryota; Metazoa; Chordata; Mammalia; Primates; Cercopithecidae.